AGUUGUUGUUUAGGCUAUGUGCCAUUUUCCCAGUCAAAAAUAUGCGAUCUCCUAAUGCAAAUGAACGGACUCCAUAGGAGGAAAUGUCAUUCUUAUAUGAGGUUCCUUUUUCAACUAC
Molecule: long non-coding RNA, 118 nt
Organism: Etheostoma cragini (Arkansas darter)
Lineage: Eukaryota; Metazoa; Chordata; Actinopteri; Perciformes; Percidae
Exons: 3
Source: RefSeq, a predicted model, not a curated record